GACGAACGCUGGCGGCGUGCUUAACACAUGCAAGUCGAGCGGUAAGGCCCUUUCGGGGGUACACGAGCGGCGAACGGGUGAGUAACACGUGGGUGACCUGCCCUCAGCUCUGGGAUAAGCCUGGGAAACCGGGUCUAAUACCGGAUAUGACUCCAUGACGCAUGUUGUGGGGUGGAAAGCCUUGUGCGGCUGAGGAUGGGCCCGCGGCCUAUCAGCUUGUUGGUGGGGUAAUUGCCACCAAGGCGACGACGGGUAGCCGGCCUGAGAGGGCGACCGGCCACACUGGGACUGAGACACGGCCCAGACUCCUACGGGAGGCAGCAGUGGGGAAUUUUGGACAAUGGGGGCAACCCUGAUCCAGCCAUUCCGCGUGAGUGAAGAAGGCCUU
This 388-nucleotide ribosomal RNA is filed under the name uncultured bacterium. RNAcentral's name for it is "bacterial SSU rRNA". It matches the Rfam family "Bacterial small subunit ribosomal RNA", at positions 28 to 418 of the family's 1533-position model. The record is from RNAcentral.